Molecule: ribosomal RNA, 442 nt
Filed under: uncultured bacterium
Lineage: Bacteria
Description: partial 16S ribosomal RNA
Rfam family: Bacterial small subunit ribosomal RNA
Source: RNAcentral
CCUACGGGGCGCAGCAGUGGGGGAUAUUGGACAAUGGGGGGAACCCUGAUCCAGCGACGCCGCGUGAGUGAAGAAGUAUCUCGGUAUGUAAAGCUCUAUCAGCAGGGAAGAAGAAAUGACGGUACCUGAGUAAGAAGCCCCGGCUAACUAAGUGCCAGCAGCCGCGGUAAUACGUGGGGGGCAAGCGUUAUACGGCAUUACUGGGUUUAAAGGGAGCGUAGACGGUGAUGUAAGUCUGGAGUGAAAGCCCGGGGCACAACCCCGGGACUGCUCUGGGAACUGCGCGGCUGGAGUGCAGGAGGGGCAGGCGGAAUUCCUGGUGUAGCGGUGAAAUGCGUAGAUAUCAGGAGGAACACCGGUGGCGAAGGCGGCCUGCUGGACUGCGACUGACGUUGAGGCCCGAAAGCGUGGGGAGCAAACAGGAUUAGAUACCCGAGUAGUC